UACGUAGGGGGCAAGCGUUGUCCGGAAUCAUUGGGCGGAAAGGGCGUGUAGGCGGUCCGCUAAGUCUGAUGUGAAAGCCCGAGGCUUACCCUCGGAAGUGCAUUGGAGACUGGCGGACUGGAGUCCCGGAGAGGAGGGUGGAAUUCCUGGUGUAGCGGUGAAAUGCGUGGAUAUCAGGAGGAACACCAAUGGCGAAGGCAGCUCACUGGGACGGUAUUGACGCUGAGACGCGAAAGCGUGGGGAGCAAACAGG
This 253-nucleotide ribosomal RNA is filed under the name uncultured bacterium. Its description in RNAcentral is "partial 16S ribosomal RNA". It matches the Rfam family "Bacterial small subunit ribosomal RNA", at positions 524 to 776 of the family's 1533-position model. The record is from RNAcentral.